UGGAAUGUAGCUUUGUGACAGAGUGUGUGCUUAACAUGCAUAAGGCCCUGGGUUCAAUCCCCAGCACCAA
This 70-nucleotide transfer RNA is filed under the name Heterocephalus glaber (naked mole-rat). It matches the Rfam family "tRNA". From Rfam's summary of the family: Transfer RNA (tRNA) molecules are approximately 80 nucleotides in length. Their secondary structure includes four short double-helical elements and three loops (D, anti-codon, and T loops). Further hydrogen bonds mediate the characteristic L-shaped molecular structure. tRNAs have two regions of fundamental functional importance: the anti-codon, which is responsible for specific mRNA codon recognition, and the 3' end, to which the tRNAs corresponding amino acid is attached (by aminoacyl-tRNA synthetases). tRNAs cope with the degeneracy of the genetic code in two manners: having more than one tRNA (with a specific anti-codon) for a particular amino acid; and 'wobble' base-pairing, i.e. permitting non-standard base-pairing at the 3rd anti-codon position. The record is from Rfam by way of RNAcentral. Lineage: Eukaryota; Metazoa; Chordata; Mammalia; Rodentia; Bathyergidae.